AGAGUAAAAAUGCGUUCGCUAUACCGAUCUGGUAUUACAGUAUUGACUGAACGGGGAGUUGUCGGUCAAACGAAAAGCAAUGGCUUGUGGUUCGCAUUUUGCAUCCCGCU
RNAcentral lists this non-coding RNA (110 nucleotides) under uncultured Ruminococcus sp. RNAcentral's name for it is "THF riboswitch". It matches the Rfam family "THF (Tetrahydrofolate) riboswitch aptamer". Rfam says of the family: THF riboswitch presents a pseudoknot that joins P1-P2 and the loop of P3 and two THF binding. Lineage: Bacteria; Bacillati; Bacillota; Clostridia; Eubacteriales; Oscillospiraceae. The record is from RNAcentral.